RNAcentral lists this long non-coding RNA (299 nucleotides) under Hordeum vulgare. RNAcentral's name for it is "long non-coding RNA (HVUL_LNC004884)". The record is from RNAcentral. Lineage: Eukaryota; Viridiplantae; Streptophyta; Magnoliopsida; Poales; Poaceae.
UUCAAUAUCUUCACAACAUUUUUAGGGGUCAUAAGCCUUGAGUUAAAUAAAUUUUUCAGAGAUUUCCACCUAUGUAUACUCACAAAUACAUUAAUCCUUUAACCAUUUUGUCACUAAUCAGCCAAAACCUUAAGGGGGCAUAAUCCCACAAGCAGGAGUCAAGGAUCUCCCACAAUCUCCUCUUUAGAUCCACUGCCACCGACAACUGGUUGCCAUGACAUGGGAUUUCCAUGCGAUGGAUCUUCACCCUUUCCUUGCUUGUGAGAUAAUGGUGUUGUAUUGUUGUCAACUUUUCUCCA